RNAcentral lists this long non-coding RNA (269 nucleotides) under Trifolium pratense (red clover). Its description in RNAcentral is "long non-coding RNA (TPRA_LNC006859)". Lineage: Eukaryota; Viridiplantae; Streptophyta; Magnoliopsida; Fabales; Fabaceae. The record is from RNAcentral.
UGCUGCUACGCUAUAGUGCUAUAGCCGCUAUUUGGCAACACCGAUAUCUUCCAUGAGUAAAGAAAGAACUAGUCAAUCAAAUCGAAAUUACGUAAUGUCCUUUAGGAGAAAAACAAAGAGUUGCUCAGUGUAUCUAAUAAUUUGCUCAAUAAUACAUUUCACAAAGAAAGUAAUUAAGAAAUAGAUUCAAGAGUUUCUUCCAUUGCAUGAAAGAAACUUGUUCUGGCAACCAUGUAUCCAAAGUUACGGACCUCACCUUGUAACAAAAU